Molecule: long non-coding RNA, 1184 nt
Filed under: Nicotiana tabacum (common tobacco)
Lineage: Eukaryota; Viridiplantae; Streptophyta; Magnoliopsida; Solanales; Solanaceae
Description: long non-coding RNA (NTAB_LNC001626)
Source: RNAcentral
UCCUGGCUCUGCAGGAGGCUGCUGAGGCCUACUUGGUGGGUCUAUUUGAGGACACUAACCUUUGUGCCAUUCACGCCAAGCGUGUGACAAUUAUGCCCAAGGACAUUCAACUUGCCAGACGAAUUAGGGGCGAGCGUGCUUAAUAUGAUCAACUCUAGCUAGUAGCAUUGUUUGUCCUUUCUUGCUCUUCUUUGUUAGACAUAAAGGCAGUAACUAAAUCUAGUAGUAGGGCUUGUUGCUUUGAAUUUGUUGGUGGCUGGUGGUGUGCUGUAAUUUGUUGGUGUUUUUUUGGAGAAGGGGAAAAACAUGAUAUUUUGUUUGGAUCUCUAAUGUUUUGUUGUCACACCACUGGUGUCGAACAAUGUUCAGUGUUUUCUUCUAAUGGUUAGUUCAAGUUGUUGUGGAUAAAUGAUUAUACUGUGCUCUUCGUAAACAUAGGAUGCAUUUGUACCAUUUAAAUGGAUGCUUGGAUUUGGGUAGUGAAAGCGUGGACUAGGUUUUCUGAUGCAUCUGUUGUAGUCACUAUUCUGAGAUUAUGAGAUACUUGCAUCUGAUCCACUUGUAGGAUUACACUACACAAGAUAUGUUAUUUUUAUUGUUGUUAUUUUUUAUUUUUAACAUUAGUAUGCCUUUAUAAUCAUAUAAUCGUUAUCAUAUAAUCAUGAUGGAUAAGGAGUUUGGGCUCAAGGAUGGCAUUGGUCCGUCUGAAGAUGCAAGAAUAGAGCCAACUAGGAAAAGCAAAAGAACUAAAAGACUACCACAAAGGCUUUCGGGCUUUAAAUGAGAUCCGGGUUAACGAAGUGAAAUGAGAAUAUUAGCGAGGGUACACGAAUGGUUAAAUGGCCAAAUAGUAGAACUAAUGUGGGAGGCUGAAUAUUGUUAAAAGCUUCCCCUCUCGUGUCUCGCUCUCCCACGCUAUUUCUCUCUGUGGCUAUGUCUUUUCAUCCCUUUCUUUUUUGUUACUAUCCUUAGUUAUUGUUACUUUUGAGUGUAAUUCCUUUGUUAUUGUAUCAAUAUAUUAAUGUCCCCAUCCCCUUUCUUUCUUUUUGUAAUCUUCACUUUCCUCUAUCCCCGUUCUCACUAUCUUAUCUUGUACUGAGUUCUGUAAUGUAUUAGUAAUCAAAUCACUUUUCUUAGACUAUUGUUGUUGGGGGUUCAUAACAUUGGUGCUUUCAUUAAGAGUA